UUUUGAGACCACCCUAAACGUGCCCAAUCUUGUCUGAUCUCAGAAGCUAAGCAGGGUCGGGCCUACAUCUCUUUCACAAGUGGCUGUAAGUUUCUAGGUUCAUAGU
RNAcentral lists this ribosomal RNA (106 nucleotides) under Nannospalax galili (Upper Galilee mountains blind mole rat). Lineage: Eukaryota; Metazoa; Chordata; Mammalia; Rodentia; Spalacidae. The record is from RNAcentral.